This 506-nucleotide ribosomal RNA is filed under the name uncultured bacterium. Its description in RNAcentral is "partial 16S ribosomal RNA". It matches the Rfam family "Bacterial small subunit ribosomal RNA", at positions 28 to 523 of the family's 1533-position model. The record is from RNAcentral.
GAUGAACGCUAGCGGCAGGCCUAAUACAUGCAAGUCGGACGGGAUCUAUCGGAGAGCUUGCUCGAAGAUAGUGAGAGUGGCGCACGGGUGCGUAACGCGUGAGCAACCUACCCAUAUCAGGGGGAUAGCCCGGAGAAAUCCGGAUUAAGACCGCAUAACACUGUGAUUUGGCAUCAUGUUACAGUUAAAUAUUUAUAGGAUAUGGAUGGGCUCGCGUGACAUUAGCUAGUUGGUGAGGUAACGGCUCACCAAGGCGACGAUGUCUAGGGGCUCUGAGAGGAGAAUCCCCCACACUGGUACUGAGACACGGACCAGACUCCUACGGGAGGCAGCAGUAAGGAAUAUUGGUCAAUGGGCGGAAGCCUGAACCAGCCAUGCCGCGUGCAGGACGACUGCCCUAUGGGUUGUAAACUGCUUUUGUCGAGGAAUAAACCUAUCUACGUGUAGAUAGCUGAACGUACCCGAAGAAUAAGGAUCGGCUAACUCCGUGCCAGCAGCCGCAGUAA